UCCUCCAAUGGGAGUCUGGAGCCGUCGGUAGCGGUGGAGGCCUGCGACCCCGCUAGCGCUCCAGCAAGCGGGAGGGACGCGUCCAGUCUAUUCGCGAGAUCCAGCUGCCGGUCCCUGGAGUCUAUUCGUGCGAGGCAGCGGCUGCACCGACGGCCCGAGGUUCCCGGUCAGCGGGUUGCGGAGUAUCGUGCGGGUAGCAAGGGGAGGGCGAGUGCUCCUGCGGCCCCCAGACGGCAACCAGUUGGCUGGGAUGGAGAUGACAAUAGUACAAUGGCGACCACGUUUUGAAGAUGGCAGACCAUCUACACAGAAGGUGCCUAGGACCCUGAAUCACCACUUAGAAGAGGGCAGCCCAUCUAUUAACAACUGUUUUGGAAGAUUGCAGGAGAACCUGCAGCCAAUGUAAUUGUGCCUUGGGGACAGGGAAAUACCCAGACCUUUUGAAAUAGACUGGAUACUGGUUCUGAGUUAAUCCCCUGUGACCUAGACAUCACUAUGGUCCACCAGUCAGAGAGGGAUAAAGUCAUACGUGAAGAGUCAGCCUGAGUCCUUCUCAUAUUGGGCCCAGGGGAUCGCAAAUCCCAUCCUGUGGUUUGCUGGUUCCUGGACACAUUAUGGGAAUACACAUGGUAUAGAUGGCAUAAAGGGUAGGAGAGCUACAUAUGAAGAACAAAGUAGUGAGUGGAAAGAUCAGACUGAGGAUCUCUUCUGGAAAUCAACAGGUAAGAAUAAAGAGAUAUAAAAUAUUUUUUAAAAAACUAAAGACACGGGGGGUAAUAUUAGAAGUGGCCACAUUGUGAUAAUAGGAAUCCCAGACACAGAGAAAGAUAAAAAUGGAAAAACGGAUCUAUUUUGUGAAUGAAUGCCUGGACAGAGGACACCAUGUGACCUGUGCAAGCUGAGCUGCCAUGGCAACAUGUGUUAACGGUCCCAUCAAGCCAUGAGGUUGUCUAUGUGCAGCAGCGCUCUGCCACCAAAUAGAGUAAGCUGCCUGAGCAGGUGGCUCAUACUCCCACUGGCUGCACUGCCGCCCCUUUCUCACACCUGAGUCUCAUGGGGCGUUCCCUGUGACCAGGUGACUCAGAGGCACAAUAUUCAAGCUUGGUUCACAGAUGGUUUUGCAUAAUAUGCUGGCACCAGCUGGACAUGUCUAGCUGCAGUGUGAUAGCCCCACUUAGGGUUGAUCCUGGGGACAAUGGGAAGGGGAAUUCUCACUGCCUGGUUGCAUAGAUGGUUAGAGGUGUAGAUACCACUGAUCCGUGAGUAGUUAGUUAGUAAUGAUUUGGCUAGGUGGUCAAGGACUUGGAAAGAAUAGGAUUGAAAUAUUGUUCAAGGAGGAGGUCUGGGGAAGAGGCAUAUGGAUGUCCCUUUUGGAAUGGGCACAGAGUGUGAAGAUAGUCACAUCCCACAUAAAUGAGCACCAGAGAGCAUCCACUAUGGAGAAAGAUCUCAAUGAGUUGGACAAGAUGUUCUGUCCUGUGGAUGUCAGCCAACCUCAGUUCCUUACCCAAUGGACUCCUGAACAAAAUGGCCAUGGCAGCAUGCGUGGAGUUUAGGCACGGGCUCUAUAAUACAGACUUUCACCAAGGCCAGUCUGGCUAUAACAACUGCUGAGUGCCCAACCUACCGACAGCAGAGGCACACCAAGCCCCGCUAUUGGAACCAUUUGUCAGUGGCAACUGAUUACAGAGACAGUACAAAAUGAAAAGAAACCAUUGGACCCCCAACAUUUUACUGGCAGGAAGCAGACUGGGGAAACUACUCAGCCGCAAAUAUGUGAUAACUUUCAUGAAAAAGGAAGAAAGGCACAGAGGAUGGGACCAAGAGCCCAGAAGGCAGAGCUAAGAGCCAUGGAGAAUUAUUCCCAGGCCUUGAAACCUAAUCCAGGAACUUCCAUGUGCCCAGCGGGAUUUCACAAUUGCUAUAGACCAGUGACUCCUUUGUGUCUCCCAUUUCCCCCGUUUUUUAAAUGGAAUGGGACUUCCCUGGUGGCGCAGUGGUUAAGAAUCUGCCUGCCAAUGCAGGGGACACAGGUUCGAUCCCUGGUCUGUGAAGAUCCCACGUGCCACAGAGCAGCUAAGCCCGUGCACCACAACUACUGAGCCUGUGCUCUAGAGCCCGUGAGCCACAACUACUGAGCGUGUGCACUGCAACUACUGAGCCCAUGCGCCGCAGCUACUGAAGCCUGCACGCCUAGAGCCCGUGCUCUGCAACAAGAGAAGCCACCACAAUGAGAAGCCCACACACCGCAACGAAGAGUAGCCCCCGCUCUCCACAACUAGAGAAAGCCUGCGCAUAGCAAAAAAGACCCAACACAGCCAAAAAUAAAUAAAAUUAAGAAAAAAAAAAAGAAAUGGAAUGUCCAUAGCAGUAUCCUGUGUCUGUUGCACCAUCGUAUGUUGGGUGUGUUGGGGACAGAUAACUUGUCUCUUAAGUUUCACAGAUCUACUGGUGGAAAACAAAUAGAACUUAAGGAGCCAUACUUAAGGAAUACACUGAAGGAGUCUCAU
Molecule: long non-coding RNA, 2510 nt
Organism: Balaenoptera acutorostrata (minke whale)
Lineage: Eukaryota; Metazoa; Chordata; Mammalia; Artiodactyla; Balaenopteridae
Exons: 4
Source: RefSeq, a predicted model, not a curated record